This 377-nucleotide ribosomal RNA is filed under the name Streptococcus sp. oral taxon D84. RNAcentral describes it as "bacterial SSU rRNA". It matches the Rfam family "Bacterial small subunit ribosomal RNA", at positions 126 to 493 of the family's 1533-position model. Lineage: Bacteria; Bacillati; Bacillota; Bacilli; Lactobacillales; Streptococcaceae. The record is from RNAcentral.
CUGCCUAUUAGCGGGGGAUAACUAUUGGAAACGAUAGCUAAUACCGCAUAAUAUUAAUUAUUGCAUGAUAAUUGAUUGAAAGAUGCAAGCGCAUCACUAGUAGAUGGACCUGCGUUGUAUUAGCUAGUUGGUAAGGUAAGAGCUUACCAAGGCGACGAUACAUAGCCGACCUGAGAGGGUGAUCGGCCACACUGGGACUGAGACACGGCCCAGACUCCUACGGGAGGCAGCAGUAGGGAAUCUUCGGCAAUGGACGAAAGUCUGACCGAGCAACGCCGCGUGAGUGAAGAAGGUUUUCGGAUCGUAAAGCUCUGUUGUAAGUCAAGAACGUGUGUGAGAGUGGAAAGUUCACACAGGACGUAGCUACCAGAAAGGCG